Molecule: long non-coding RNA, 7371 nt
Organism: Thunnus maccoyii (southern bluefin tuna)
Lineage: Eukaryota; Metazoa; Chordata; Actinopteri; Scombriformes; Scombridae
Exons: 3
Source: RefSeq, a predicted model, not a curated record
AAAAUAAUCAGCAGAUUGAUAAUGAAAAUAAUCGUUAGUUAUAGCCCUAGAAUACAGGCACGUUUAUAACACAGAAGUAUUUCAUGUUUUUUGUAAUGUCUGUUUGGGUUGAAAAUAAUCAGAUGUGAAUACAAGAUUCACAACAUUGCACUGGGUAAUAACAUCCAUUAUAUUUCACAGUACUGAGGAUGAUCAUUGAAAAAAAAAUACAGUGGUGGUAGCCCGCUGUGAUGAUCAACAACAUGUUUUGAAUAGCUUUUAAUUAUCACAUUAUCACUGUUUUCACACAAAACAUCCUCUGAUAAAGCAGCAAAGAGCUGUAAGAACCACAAAUCAGUGCAGGAAUACAUCAGCCACUAUAAGCCACUGAGGCAGUGAUCCAUUUAAUUGAGGACACAAAGGGUUGAAGUGAAAGGGUCAAGCACUGCCCAGAGUGCAGUUCAUGUUAGACCUAUACAGGACGAGGCAGCAGCGGAGUCAUCCACAUGAACAUAAGUGUUCAUACGCUCCUCAACAGAAAGCGACUGUAUGUUGCCUCCUGUUUGGCGAUCAUGGAGAACAUGUGUGCUCACUAACAGCUUGCCUUGCUGCAGCUAUGUGAUUAUACAUGUCUGUUCACAUGUGAGUUGCCACAGUGCAUCAACUUAAUUAAUGCGAAUGUGCUCGGAGCAGCCUGCAGUCAUUCCUGCCCACGGUAGAGAGGCUGUUACAUCACUCACACACAGAAAAACACACAGCUAUUUAGAGACAUUUUCGUGCCUUUAUGGAAUAAUGUUCUCCUUGGAAUAUCCAAGAUAAAUCCAUCUUCAUUUAUUGUACUUGGUGAGCCAUUCCUGCCCUUUUUUUCCCCUCCUUUAUUUUCUUUUUCAGAGCUGUUUCAUCGGGGCGCUCUGUGCUGUGGAGCUGCAGCUGCUGAGCCACACACUGACUUCUGGCUGCAUUCAUUAGCUCCUGUGUUUCUAGGAGGGUCUGGAUAACAACCCUGUGCAGGCUUUCAGCCCUCAUCUGUGUCUCUCCUCCCCCUGCCUCCGUGCCAGGCUGCAGGAGUAGAGCUCAGACGGUGUGUGUGGUCCCCCCCCCUCCUCCUCCCCUUGGGGGCACAAGGGCACUGGGUGGGCAGAGGGAGGGGGGAAGAUUCUGGGUGCUCAGUGGCCCCUUCUUUAAAAUGUUGUUAUGCACAAAUGUGUCCUCCCAAACAAAAGCAGUGUUUCCUCUAGGAUUUUUUUUCAGCAGCAGGGGGAAAGAGUUUUGUUGUACCUGGGUCUUCGUUUUCUCUCCUUUCUCCUCCACUCUCAUCUCUUUUUGCACUCUCUCCCGAUUCACUCUGCUCUCACCUCCACUACCGCUGCCCGUCUACUUGUCUAAUAAGGUUACAUUUGAGAAUGAGUAACAUUAGAUAAUUCUCUCACAUCACAAAUAUUUGAUCAAGCAACCAAUAAGAACAUUAAAAUAUUGUAGUUGCCACCACUAACGUUACAUAUUUUAGAACCAGAGGGCAUUUCUUUCACUUCAAAAUUUCACAGCAUAGCUAAGAACAUUAGCCCCUCCCUAGCUAAAGUAACGUUAGCUUACCCAUCAACAUCAGACAUCUUCCUCUUCUUGGAGAAACAAACUCACCUGAAAAGGAAUAUUUUAAUACAUAGCUUAUAUAAACAUCGUUGGCAAUUAUUUUACCAAUGUUUGUUAGUAAUGUUACCGGUAUUAUGAUUCGCUGAGUUUGCUAAUGUUAAUGUUUACCUUGCUAACGUUAGCUAGAACUUUAUUUCACAAUAUAUUGUGGCUCCGCAGAGUCAUGUAAUUGCGACUUUAUGACAUUUCAUACAAUUCUGAAGCAGUAGCGGCAACAAAAUGUAUAUAACAGAAACACUGAGAGGGAAAAUAAUCUGGGUGCCAAAGUUUUUUUUUUUCCUGAAAGCUUUAAUGAUUAUCUUUUGUUUCAUCCGUUGAAAUAAUUUGGCCUGGAAAAGACAUGAUGUGCUCUGUGACCCCAAGGCAGUGCUUGAAUUAAAUAGCCCCCCCCCACCCCCCCAAAAAAAUAAAUCAGAGAAUGUAGCUGUGAACGUACAGUUGUGACAAGCCUUUGACUGCACAGUUUUAUUUGCAGUCUCCAAGGCAUUUCGUGAACCUUGACAUUACUCACGGUUGGCUGCAUUUCUUCAUGUGUCACAACAGUUUAUAGUCUGUCCUCUGGAUGCUCGCGAAGUCGCCGAAACAAAGCCUGGGUCGUUAGUAAGGGAGGAAACCCCGAAAGACCAACCAUUUUCAUUUUCGUUUGUGAGACAGGAAAUGUUCAGACGUCUUCUCUUCUUCAGUUUAUCAUUACGUUUCUACAACUGUCACACCAUGGAUGUCACUAUGGACUGUUUGUGGCUUCAGUAAAUUCUUGUAAGUUUCCUUUUGGAGGGUAAUUGUGAAUAUUUUAGUUCAAAUUCAUACUUCUGCUUGUGAGUACCAACAACACCGUGUGUGCUUGCUAGUUUCUAGUAGGUCAUGUAUUUUUUUACGAGGUUCUAGUCUCAUAAGGUGUUGUCAACUUUAGCUCUCCCACUAUAAAUGUUACACAAAGACGCUGUCUGCUCAGGCAGGCUGCAACCAUCACGUCUAUAAAAAUUGAUAACAAACUCCUACUUCUGAAUGACAGCAAGCAUGACGAGUCUUCAGUGUCGGACUGCGACUCUGACUCAUAUGAAGAAAUUUUCCAUAUAGCAGAUAGAGAGCAACCGGUCCUUCUCUGGGUCAGGCCGACUUCUCCUCGUGGUCGUUCUCAUGAGAACGGGUGCUAAAAUAAACAAUCUUAUAGCAAGAUCCCUGAUUAUGAUAUGACUCGAGCCAAGGCUGUCUGGUAAACAGAUCCUUAUCAUUACUAUUAAGUAGGUGUUGUUUACGGCUCUUCCUUCAGACUUUGGGUGACAUUUCACAGUGUCAACUCCAUGUGCUAAGACUGUAUCCCAAAUGUCUCCUUAAUCGAUAAAGUGUCAAUAAAUUCUUUUGCUCAAGACAUCCAAGGUCUCCUGGUAUUUCUGAAUUACCCAGCUCCAAGAUUUCCAUCACAAAUCAUACAGUGAGGAUUCAUCGUCAAUCCUCACAUCAUCCGUCAGGCCCCGGCCUGUCAGGAAAGAAGACUCUUUCAAGCUGAACCAACAAACUUUGCAUACUGGCGUCUCCAAACAGCAGCAAAGCAUCCCUGAAAACUAUUUGAACUUCAAAAACCCAGAAAUCCUGUCAGGUCCGCUGUCAGACCCAGUGCCCGUGUGUUAUCUGUCUCCACCACUGAGCGCCUUAAGGAAAUGUGGCUCACAGCUCGAGCUUUGAUUUGCAGCAGGACAUCAUCAAGACUGAAGAACCAGACCCAACCUCAAAACUGAUUCAUCCAGGCUGCAUUCUAGCUACUUUGUUAAAAUGGAGAUGGUCAUGUGAGGAUUUAGUACAGAAUGUCCUGAUCACGCUUUCCGUCUGUGUGACGUCUGAGGUCGUGCACUCUUCUGUCUUGGAGUGUUUGAAGUAUUCCUGGCUGCGCUGAUGAGUAACUCUGUUACAAGGUCAUGCCUCCUGCAAUCAGACAUGAAAAAUACACCAAGCUGUCGGCAUAACUGAGAAUCUACUCGACUGACUCAGAAGCAGCACUUAAUACCAUUAACAGAAAGCUGUAAAGAACAAAACUAUGACUGAGAUGAACUUCAAGAUGUCAAAAUCUACACAGCGGCCACAACUGAUGCUCUGAUCAGAGUAAAUAGAGCAUGCUGUAGAAUAAACUCCUUAUGAAUAUGUUGCAUAUGGCCAACAGGGCAGUGAGUCAGGCUGUUACAGACUGCUGUGACACAGCAAAGAGCCUGGAUGCAGUGUCCAACACAGAAGGACAAAAAAGUGGCAACCAUGUCUGACAGGCUAACAUCCCAUCCCAUCGGCGUAAAUGUCCCCAAAUAGAAGCUAAUUGCAACAGGAAACAGCAUUUUUUUUUUUUUAGCAAAGUGGUGAGCCCGGACAGAAAAAGACAUGUGAUGCGACCAAGUGAUAUAUCCAUGUGAAAACGUUUCUGUCACCAGGGCCAUGUGCACAUUUGACACAACGUCGCACGCUGGCCUGAUAAUGUCAAUAUAAUUUCCUUCAUCUCCUGUCAGCUCGACGCCCGCUCCUUGUCACAGAAACAGGCUGGAAAUGGAGAACUCCCACACUCUCUGUGACAGCGCUGGAGCUGUAUAAACAAACCCCUCGGAGUCAGUAAUUCAGGGGUAUCCAGAGUUUCUCCCCUGCAAUCUGCUGCUAAAUCUGCUAAACUUGCUUUAAUCCACACUGCUCUUUUUUUUAACGUUGGUCUGAACAGGUAGUCUGGGUGACUGGAGAUCAGGUAGGAACUUUUUUUUGCUUCCAGGAAUAGAAAAUCAACCGUUAUUUGAUAAUCACUUUUGUGGUGUCCUUGAGAAAAAACAUUAAAAUUUUAUAAUUCAGACCCACAAUACAGUAGGUGUGAAAACCUGUUGUGGUUUGAUGGAUUCACAUGUUGGUGUGUCAUCAGCUACUGAGGUGCCCUUAAUCAAUGUUAGUAACCUUCAACUCCUCCAGAGCAGCUAUGUGGGCAAAAAGAAUGACUGGUUUUACUGGGGAGUUUGAAGGAGUCCAACCUGUGUUAAUAUAAAACAGGAUGAUUCCUCAAACUGCUCCCUGAAAACACUUGAUGGUAAAAAAAACCCCCCAUUAAUGCUGAGUGAUCCGGGCCAGGCACGGCACACAGAUUUGUGUAUCUUCCUGGUGAGUCAUGUGGCUUCAAAUAAUCUGCCAUCAUGUAACCCAGCAACGGCACAUGAAGCCAAGUCUUACUAGAAAGGAGGGAAUAAAAAUGAACUGAAACCCCCUCCUCAUCCAUCACGCAUGUAAAUUUGUCAGGUCCAGCUUGACACACGUCCUGCAGGAGGACAAUGCACAUGCCAACUCCACAAAAACGUGCAGCCCUCAGCGUCCUCCUUGGACUCACCCAAAGAAAGUCAUUAUGAUGAUAUAUGUUGGCGUAAUCAGAUUAAUUCAGGAGCUAAUUUGUUGCUGUCAAGUGUGCCUGGCUGCCGUCAGUAGCACACACAGAUCCAUAACUUAUCGAAAGCUGAUUAACACAUCAAUCCUCCUGCUAAGAACGCAGAGCUGGGUGGUUGUCAGGAUUACUUAAGUGUGAGCGGAGGACUGAGGCAUCCAGACGCCAGAGCCUUGCAUUAACUCUCACUCCUGUCACUAGCUUUACUUUUUAAAAUAGAUUUUUUGCCUUCACAUAAUAAUUCAUCGUAUUUAAUACAAUUAAAACAGUAUGUUGUACUAUGGUAAACAUAAAGGACAGGAUAUCGAGGUAGACGGUCUGAGAUUCUGCCUCAACAGCGACUUCUGUGUGAACUGGAUGUCAUCAAAGGAUGCAGUUGGCUCUGACCUUUGACCCCUCCAGUGAAAUGUGUCCAAAUCUGAUAUCUCCAGAGUAACUUGUUUCCAUUUGAAGUUUAAUCUAAAGCACUCAGUCAUGUGUUGCUUCUUUUCAGCUCCCUAGGGAACUCAGACUGAACAAUGCCUCCCGGUGGUGUUUUUUGGCAGUCAGGCAACAUCCAAAAAUGUUCCCACCAUCGGCUAACGAGCUGUACUUUUUGCCACUGCAUGAGCCAAGUAGACAAACUGAGAAGGCAUACAAACCUCUGCAGUAGGCCUGGUCUCGUGCGGCUGUGGCAGGAUGGUAAAUAGGAGCUGGCGUGAUAGGUCCUGACAGCAGCACAGUCUUGGCCAUGAGCACAAACUGGCUCGCUUACGUAACCAGCCCAUUGUUACCGCCCUGUUACUGCCAUUAACAUUCAUAGGAAUCACAUGAAAUUGUGCCCCAAAACAAGUGUUUGCUGCAGCAGCAGGAGAUGCAAGGAGGAUUGGUCAAAGUCAGGAAAGAUGAUAUUUCAAUGAGACACAUGGUUAGACGAACACAGCGAGACCAGUGGAUUGUUGGGUCUCAUCCCAGCUUGUAAGUCACUGCACUGUUGGAGAGCAGACUGCUUUCCAAAAAGCACAAUGAAGGCAGCUCUCUGUUAACCGCUUGGAACUGCUCGGCUGACCUAACACAAACACCUCUUCACACCUUUAAGGCUCCGCUGGCGCUUCAGCACCUGUUCAUAGCACUUGUGCUAUCAAUAGGUGAUCACAGGAGGAUUAUUUAUAGCUGUUACAUCUGUGAAGAGACAGACACACUUCUUUAAAGUAUCAGUUCACAGCCAUUUUGUCUUGUGAUCCUCGUCGCAGGCUGCCUGUGAACUUGUGAAAAGUUGAAUUUAAAGAGCACAUUUCUCUUUUCAGGUUUUCUGUUUGAUGUGAUUCAAGGGGCCAGAGAGGCUAAACACUUAUUAGCAUUUUAAAGAUAGGACAGCAAAAAUUUGCAGAGAAAAUAUGAAUGAAACCAAAUUUAGUAAACUCAUUUUCUAUCCUGUGAGAUGUUCUUAAACAAAUCUUGCACUCUUAGAGGCAGACACCCACAGGCACUUGACAAGAAGUGCUUAUCCAUAAAGAUUAAACAAACUGUACUUAGUGACAUGAUUAGUAAGCUAAUAGAAAAAAAGUGAAAAGUAAAAGGUUCUAUCACAGAAUAAGACUACAUACUAUGUUGUAGUUUGAAUUACCGGGAAAAUCUAGUCAGAGAAUAGAUAACAAACACUCACCCUCUUUCUCACCUAUUACCAGGUGUCCUCAAACAAAUAGGUUCAGACUGUUCAAGUCUUUCUUAAUACAAUACUCACAUGCCCAUAUGUACAUUGAGUUGUAGGUCCCUGUAGUGAUUAUUUGGCCGUGAAGGGACAGACUACCUUCAUGACUCCACUGUAAGACGUGGGGAAUAAAUCCAGUCCUUAUUCAGUACAAAUAAAGAUGAAGCCAAUAUGGGACUCCUGCAGUCUGAGCUAGCCAAAUGAAAAUGGUAUUAUCCAAAGUAAGUAGUAUGAAUUCCAUCUGUUUCAAUGGACAGUGUUUUUUUGCAGAGCUGCAGUGGAGGGAUAGUAAAGCAAAUUUUGGACAAAAAGAAAAGACUGAAUAACUCUGCUGAAGUCUUUUAUUAGCUUUGGUUGAACUUUAAAACACAUCUUUGCACAGAACAAAGACUGUGAACUCUGUCCCUUCACUCUAUGAAGCUGGCAGAAAGUAUGGAGAGGAGGAAUUACUACACUGACCUAUAACUCAACUUAUACAAUAUGAGUAUUUUAUCAAGACAGACUUCAAAAAACAUCUGAAAUAAUCCUUUAACCUUUACCUGCUGAAGUAGAGAGCUCAGUAACCUGAAUAUAAACCAGCUGGGGAAUGAAAACGAGCUGUUAAAUUAACUGAAAAUUUGUAAUUCCAUUAUGAAAAGGUAUAAAUUGUUAAAACUGUCUA